RNAcentral lists this long non-coding RNA (3472 nucleotides) under Panax ginseng (ginseng). RNAcentral's name for it is "long non-coding RNA (PGIN_LNC004715)". The record is from RNAcentral. Lineage: Eukaryota; Viridiplantae; Streptophyta; Magnoliopsida; Apiales; Araliaceae.
CUUUAAAACUCUUCUUUAUACUAGAAUCAUAUUUAUUAUAUGACUAAUAUAGCCUGAGUAGAUAUAAGUAUAUAUAUACAAUUCAUUAUUUCAAACAUAUUCCUAAUUCAGAACAAAUGAUCUUCAUCUAUUGAAUUAUUCAAAGAUUUACUUCUUUGUGGUUUACACAUGUAAAAUACCAUCAUCAGGGUUUAAUACAUUCUGCAUUAAACAACUAUUCUUCUUUUCAAGCGCUUCUAAUCACGAGAGAUCGCAUCAUAGCUUUAACCUGCAAAUUAAGCAAGAUUGAGCACAACGGCCCAGCAAGUCUAACAGCCUAUCAUGCAUCACGUAGCACAUAAGUUUCACAUUCAGUUCAUGCAUUUAUAUUCUUGGAGUUCAAGCAUAUUACAAUUGUAUCAUCAAACUUAAAUUCUACUAGUAGUAACAUACGCACCAUAGCAUACGACACAUGAACUGCAUCUGUCAUUCAUUACACAUAUAUAUUGAGUUCCCUGACUCAAUUCAACAAUUAGUAAUAAUUUGACCUUCAUCAUUCACAAAGCAAUUAAUGCAAUUCAUAGGCAUCACAUAUCUAUAAACAUAAGUCAUGUUAACAUUUAUUUAUAGCAUUUAUAAGUCCACAUAAAUAAACUGAGAAACUUGCCUUAAUUGGAGAUUACCGUUAAACUUAACUUAGCUUCUUUCCAAAAUUCCUACACAAUCGUGUUUACAUAUACACACAUAUUAGGUAAUCAUUUAUGUAACAAAAACAUGCAUGCAUAUAUAUUAACCAUGAUUAUUAGUAUAUAUAAACUAUAAUAUUUUAUUCUCAUCUUAAAACCAAUCUUGGUUUAUUUAGAAAUUUUAAUUCAUUUUAACCUUUUUAUGCACAAUAAAGGUCUCUCACAUUUUUAAUACGUAAAUAUUUUACAUCUUGAAGCUUGAACCAUCCAUAUUCCAUUUUAGAAAUAUCAUUUGCCAUUACUCGCAAAGUCGAGAUUUAAAUGAUUAAUAUAUAACUUUUAUAUUAAAACACGACUUACUAUAUUAUUUCUUUUAUUUAUAUAAUUUUUUAUGCCUUUUUGACAAUUCAUGACUUAAAUCAUCAUAUCCCCUCUUACGCGAAUGUUUUAUUUCAUAAGCAACUUGGCUUCACAUUUUAUCUCGCGAAUAAUUCGCAUUCUCGCUUCGCAUAUAUAUAACUAUAUAUAUGCAUCGUUAUAUAAAUAUUUGUUCAAAAUGUUCGUUUCGAACUCCAGAAACCUUCAUUUCAUUACUUUCAUAACCAUUAAUAUUUUUAAUGGUUUCAUGAUUUUCGUUUCGCUAUAAAAUCAUUUUAUGUGUCAUUUCUGGCUUACAUUCGCAUAUCUAUGUAAAUUUAAAAUUACCUUACAUUUUUUUUCCAUUCUUUAUGCCCGAAAUAAAUUUUCAUGGCAUAAAGUACCAUAUAACCUCAAUACUUCGAUUUUGGGUCUUUAUUAGGCUUUAUGUUUCUUAAAAUUUAGCCCAAAUACGAUCCGAAAUGUCGAACGUCAAAACAGCUCAUGUCGGAUAUGUUCGGCAUCGCUUGUUUUUAAAUUCUGACAUGCUCCUUCGCUCAUUUUUAAUUCUUAAACCAUUAAUCAAAUCGCGGCGAAUUUAUGGUAUGUUAUAGACCUCAUGUCAUAGUAUUUUUUUAAAUUUCUAUCCGCGAAAACGAACCACGAAAACUACCCGUAAUGGAGCUCAAAAAUCACUCCAGCAGCAGCCUGCAGAGCAGGUGCCAGCGGCGCUGGGCACUGCCUGCCCUGCUGCUGCCUUGGCCUGUUGCAGCGCUUAACGAGUUGCCUACUUUGCGAUUUUCUCAUACAUUGCUCGUUUAUCGGAUCGAUUCUAAAUUUCAUUAUGUUUUUCCUAUCAUAUGAGACUAUUUUUAAAAAUAUCAAACUCCCAUUUCAGAUUUGUUACGCAGCCCAAACAGAGCGCCAAAAGUGUACGUUCAUAACAGUUUUUACUUUUGUUUCAGCUUUACCCUCUCUCGCUAAAACAGUCAUAACUUUUUCGUUUCAAAACAUUUUUGAGCGAUUCUUGAGCCCACACGAAGCUAACUUCCGGGGCUACAACUCUUACUUACUGACCUUUUCCAAAUUCCGAACACAUCAGUCCAGAAUUUCGCACAAAGGGGACUAGUCGGAAUUGGUUGGACAAUUUUGACACGACUACUUUGAAUGGUCAUAACUCUUUACUCCGAAGUCGGAAUUAGUCCGUUCUGGAGUCUAUGGAAAGCUUAUUCAGUGUAAUAUAAUACCCCAAAAGCCCAGAAUUUUUUGGAAACAUAUACUAUCCUUGAAUUUAUGUUUUAGGGUCAGCAGUCACACAAUCUUUCGGACUUUUCGUUUUGUCUCAAAAAUUGUUUUUCGUUCUAAUUUUAUUAUCCUUUAAUUAUCUACAUAUAGUGUAUAUAUAUGUAACCAUGGCCUCGGCUUUACUUAAUUAUUCGUUUUUAACCAAAACAGUCCACAGAGGACUUUCAGCGAACAUCUUAUGUGCGCUGUUUUGACAUGCGAAUUUUAUAGCCAUUCCUUUGUGUUCUAAACCCAUUUUAGCCUCCUUAUAACUCCGCACAACCAACCUAUCUCCUUUGUUCUAAUUUAGUCCCAUAGGAGUCAAAUACAUAAUUAAAAUUAAGCAAAAUCAAGUAAUUAGUAAACUAGUUACUAACUUUAAAAACUUUAACUAUUUGAUUCUAAUACACUCAAUAUGCAAUAAUAUAAUCUCAAUUCUCGUUGCUAUAUAACAUACAUAUAACAAUAUUAAUCCAGCCAAACUCAUUAGCCCAAUUGUAAAUUCUCAGUCUUACCCAUUUGUUUUGCUAAUUGAAUUUUAUAUUCAAACUAUUUAACCAUACAUACUAACUAAUUUCAUAAACAUAAUUAAAUUACCUUUGCUUGCUUAUAAUCUUUUGGAUAUCCUGAGAUUCCCUUGUAUACUAAUUUCUUGCUUCAAUUGAGUGGAAGGGUCAUAGAUGACUGGGCUGUUUCGGGUGGACAGGGGAGAAGGCAGGAGGAGAUCCAGGUUGAGGGAAAAAGAGAAGAACAUGAUAGUUUGAUCUCAUCCUAUAAAUUCCCAAGUCUUGAUCCCCAGGAAAAUUUUCUUUUCCUUCAUUCACAAAUAUUUUCCUUGGCCAAGGUAUAAAUUGCUUGCUCCAUAUGAAUUUACGGUGCUGAGUAAUAUACAUAGACUUGCCAGCUCAAGCUAACUCUCCUAAUGUCCCUGACUAGCUUCUACUGCUCAUGCUCCUGACUUUAAUAUUUUUCCCCCAAAUCAGUUUAUGGCUUUACUUUCUUAAUCAAUUUGAUGGCUUCUUAUACCGAAUUUGGAAAAAACUUAGUGCUUAUAACUUUGGGGAUAUGAAACUUGGCAAUUUGUUAGAGAGAGAGAGAUGAUGGAACGGGUGGAGAGGAGAUGAAAAUGAGAGAAUGAAAUUAUUUCAGUUUUUCUUAGAUCUCCU